AAGUCGUAACAAGGUUUCCGUAGGUGAACCUGCGGAAGGAUCAUUAUUGAAACUUCUUAGUUUUAACACACCUGUGAACCUGUACAUUCCCUUCGGGGUCUUACACACAAACUCUAGUGUCGUCUAUGUAUGUCUAGUUAUAUCAUAACAAGUAUAACUUUCAACAACGGAUCUCUUGGCUCUC
RNAcentral lists this unclassified non-coding RNA (184 nucleotides) under air metagenome. Its description in RNAcentral is "partial contains small subunit ribosomal RNA, internal transcribed spacer 1, and 5.8S ribosomal RNA". The stretch from base 1 to 46 matches the Rfam family "Eukaryotic small subunit ribosomal RNA", at positions 1786 to 1831 of the family's 1831-position model. The record is from RNAcentral.